This 421-nucleotide RNase P RNA is filed under the name Aeromicrobium wangtongii. RNAcentral's name for it is "RNase P RNA component class A". It matches the Rfam family "Bacterial RNase P class A". From Rfam's summary of the family: Ribonuclease P (RNase P) is a ubiquitous endoribonuclease, found in archaea, bacteria and eukarya as well as chloroplasts and mitochondria. RNAcentral also lists the same sequence under 1 other name. Lineage: Bacteria; Bacillati; Actinomycetota; Actinomycetes; Propionibacteriales; Nocardioidaceae. The record is from RNAcentral.
UGAGUCGGCCGGGCGGCCGCGGCACGUCCUCCGGGACGGGUCGAGGAAAGUCCGGACUCCACAGGGCAACGGUGGUGGCUAACGGCCACCCACGGUGACGUGCGGGACAGUGCCACAGAAAACAGACCGCCAGCGGCCCCAGCUCCUCGGAGUCGGGGUGCGGGUAAGGGUGAAACGGUGAGGUAAGAGCUCACCAGCGCCUCGGGUGACCGGGGCGGCUAGGUAAACCCCACCGGGAGCAAGACCAAGAGAGCAUCGCUUCGUUCGCGAAGAGGUGCUUGCGCUGACGGGCUGCCCGUCCGAUGUCAGCGGGUAGGUUGCACGAGGCGUCCAGCAAUGGGCGUCCCAGAUGGAUGGUCGCCCGGGCCGGUGGAGUGAUCCGCCGACCCGACAGGAUCCGGCUUACAGGCCGGCUCAUUCG